Molecule: ribosomal RNA, 468 nt
Filed under: uncultured bacterium
Lineage: Bacteria
Description: partial 16S ribosomal RNA
Rfam family: Bacterial small subunit ribosomal RNA
Source: RNAcentral
GACGAACGCUGGCGGCGUGCUUAACACAUGCAAGUCGAACGGAAAGGCCCUGCUUUUGUGGGGUGCUCGAGUGGCGAACGGGUGCGUAACACGUGAGUAACCUGCCCUUGACUUUGGGAUAACUUCACGAAACUGGGGCUAAUACCGGAUAGGAGCUCCUGCUGCAUGGUGGGGGUUGGAAAGUUUCGGCGUUUGGGGAUGGACUGGCGGCUUAUCAGCUUGUUGGUGGGGUAGUGGCUUACCAAGGCUUUGACGGGUAGCCGGCCUGAGAGGGUGACCGGCCACAUUGGGACUGAGAUACGGCCCAGACUCCUACGGGAGGCAGCAGUGGGGAAUAUUGCACAAUGGGCGGAAGCCUGAUGCAGCAACGCCGCGUGCGGGAUGACGGCCUUCGGGUUGUAAACCGCUUUCGCCUGUGACGAAGCGUGAGUGACGGUAAUGGGUAAAGAAGCACCGGCUAACUACGUG